CUAGACUCCUACGGGAGGCAGCAGUGGGGAAUAUUGCACAAUGGGGGAAACCCUGAUGCAGCGACGCCGCGUGAGCGAUGAAGUAUUUCGGUAUGUAAAGCUCUAUCAGCAGGGAAGAAAAUGACGGUACCUGACUAAGAAGCCCCGGCUAACUACGUGCCAGCAGCCGCGGUAAUACGUAGGGGGCAAGCGUUAUCCGGAUUUACUGGGUGUAAAGGGAGCGUAGACGGUCCUGCAAGCCAGAUGUGAAAGCCCGGGGCUCGACCCCGGGACUGCAUUUGGAACUGUAAGGCUAGAGUGUCGGAGAGGCAGGCGGAAUUCCUAGUGUAGCGGUGAAAUGCGUAGAUAUCAGGAGGAACACCGGUGGCGAAGGCGGCCUGCUGGACUGCAACUGACGUUGAGGCCCGAAAGCGUGGGGAGCAAACAGGAUUAGAUACCCCGGUAA
This 445-nucleotide ribosomal RNA is filed under the name uncultured bacterium. RNAcentral describes it as "bacterial SSU rRNA". It matches the Rfam family "Bacterial small subunit ribosomal RNA", at positions 331 to 793 of the family's 1533-position model. The record is from RNAcentral.